CUACUAUACUCUUAUGAGUAUAGUCUCUUGUACUCAUAAGUUGUUUUCGAUGUUGAGAUUUUCGAAUCGACGAUCCACACCGUUAAACCUGAUCUAAAGUAUUUGAAAUUUCUAAAAAAUAAAUUUCGUAAUUUUUCGAAAUCAUUAUACAGUCCAUCAAGCGGGUAUAAAAUGAACGGUUAAAAUCGAACGACAUUCUAAAAAUGGAUAAUCGGAUCCUUCAAUUUAAGAUCGGAGUUAUUGAUAUUUACGAUUGCCUUCGUACUCAUAAGUUGUUUUCGAUGAUAGAGCUUACGAAUCGACGAUCCAUACCGUUAAAUAUUAUCUAGAGUAUUUAAAACUUCUAGAAACUAAAUUUUAUAAUUUUUCGAUAUCACUACCUUACGAUCAAAAUUUUUAACGGCCGAUAUGAGAUAUUUGCUAGUUUAACGGUGAAAAAGAAUCGGAAUAGGUUGAAGUUUUGAUAAAAAAUUCUAUUCACUACCUAAAUAAAGAUCAAUAACUCUGAUCUUAAAUUUAAGGAUCCGAUCAUCAAUUUUUAAGAUGUCAUUCGAUUUUAACCGUUCAUUUUAUACCCGCUUGAUGGACUUUAUAAUGAUUUUGAAAAAUUACGAAAUUUAUUUUCUAGAAGUUCCAAAUACUCUAGAUCAUUUUUAACGGUGUGGAUCGUCGAUUCAAAAAGCCCAACAUCGAAAACGUCUUAUGAAUACGAAGCGCUCUAUACUCAUAAGAGUAU
RNAcentral lists this long non-coding RNA (736 nucleotides) under Ananas comosus (pineapple). Its description in RNAcentral is "long non-coding RNA (ACOM_LNC021982)". Lineage: Eukaryota; Viridiplantae; Streptophyta; Magnoliopsida; Poales; Bromeliaceae. The record is from RNAcentral.